Molecule: long non-coding RNA, 1237 nt
Organism: Bos taurus (domestic cattle)
Lineage: Eukaryota; Metazoa; Chordata; Mammalia; Artiodactyla; Bovidae
Source: Ensembl
UCCCUCACCUUCAAUAUCUGAGUAAAUUUCCUCAUUUCGCUUACCCCCCAGGUAAUAUCUGAUCACUCUGGCCUACCUUCAACAAGAAUCCUUUUAGAUUAUCUAUGUUUCCUCUUAGUAAUUUUCCAUCCUCUGAUCUUUCUUGCCUUCCCCCAACUUCUUCUUGGCUAUAAAUCCCCACUUGUUCUUGUUGUACUUGGAAUUGAGCCCAGUUCUACACAGAGGUCUCUUUCCUCCUUUUGCAAUAAUUUCUGAGGAAAAAAACAUCUCUUUUUACUGCUUUAAGUACUAUCCCACUCUGGUUUUCUCUAAUAUCUGUUCAAGUCCCCAAAACAUGCUACAGUUGCCAGUUAGAGUUCUAUAUUUGUGUCUAACAAUGCCUUGAGGAGUUCUUUCACUCAAGCCUUUAUAAAGAGUACAAAAAUGUUGAUGGAGAAGAGUGAGUUUCCAUAGUCUGAGCUAAAUGUGGGAAAAUAUGUCAUGCUUACUGAUGUUCAUGGAUGAAAGAGGGAAGGAAAGUCCACCAAAAGAUUCUGUAUGAUUUAGAGACCAGGUAGCUUCAAGGGGAGAAAUUUACUCUGGAGUGAGCCAAGAAAGUUGAGGCUGGCCAACCCUGUGUGAAGCUAAUGAGCCCUCACAGAUGGGUGAGAAAGGGAAGUUGGAGGAGAUUGUUUUCAGUCCCACCAGUCUCCCUUGAGAACUGUAUCAACUGAUAUAAAAAACAUAUUACUCUGAUCUCUGUGAGAUGCUAAGAUAUCAAGUUGCUCAGUUGUGUUGGACUCUUGGACCCCAUGGACUGUAGCACACCAGGCUUCCCUGUCCUUCACCAUCUCCUGGAGCUUGCUCAAAUUCAUGUCCAUCGAGUCCACCCAUUUCAUCCUUUGUCGUCCCCUUCUCCUGCCUUCAAUCUUUACCAGCAUCAGGACCUUUUCUAAUGAGUCGGCUGUCUGCAUCAGGUGGCCAAAGUAUUGGAGCUUCAACUUCAGCAUCAGUCCUUCCAGUGAUUCAGGAUUGAUUUCCUUUAGGACGGACUAGUUUGAUAUCCUUGCAAGUGACUCUCAAGAGUCUUCUUCAACACCACAAUUCAAAGGCAUUGAUUCUUCGGUGCUCAGCAUUCUUGAUGGUCCAAUUCUCACAUCCAUACAUGAUAACUGGAAAAACCACAGCCUUGAAGUUUGACUAUACAGCUCUUUGUUGGCAAAGUAAUGUCUCUGCUUUUUAAUACGCUGUCUGGGUU